Long non-coding RNA from Argiope bruennichi, 424 nucleotides. RefSeq lists it as uncharacterized. Lineage: Eukaryota; Metazoa; Arthropoda; Arachnida; Araneae; Araneidae. The record is from RefSeq and is a predicted model, not a curated record. The transcript has 6 exons.
AGGUAUAAAAAGUUAUGAAUGGGACUAGGUUGAAAUGCAAAUUAAUCUUAACACAUGAAUGAGGUAUAAAAAGUUAUGAAAGGGACUUGGUUGGAAUGCAAACUAAUCUUAAGACAUGAAUGAGGUAUAAAAAGUUAUGAAAGGGACUUGGUUGAAAUGCAAACUAAUAUUAAGACAUGAAUGAGUUAUAAAAAGUUAUGAAAGGGACUUGCUUGAAAUGCAAACUAAUCUUAAGACAUGAAUGAGGUAUAAAAAGUUAUGAAAGGGACUUGGUUGAAAUGUAAACUAAUCUUAAGACAUGAAUGAGGUAUAAAAAGUUAUGAAAGGGACUUGGUUGAAAUACAAACUAAUCUUAAGACAUGAAUGAGGUGUGUAUAUUUUUGUUUGUCUUUCAUAUUUUCAUGGUUUUUUUAUUGAAUUACCA